Molecule: long non-coding RNA, 2506 nt
Organism: Acinonyx jubatus (cheetah)
Lineage: Eukaryota; Metazoa; Chordata; Mammalia; Carnivora; Felidae
Exons: 4
Source: RefSeq, a predicted model, not a curated record
AACGGCCCUAGAACCCUACAACCUUCACCCCACUCUGUCUUCCCUUGAAAUAAGCCUGUGACCACGGAAGGGGAGCAGAGCCCACAGAAACCUAGAGCCGAAGGAGCAUUUCUAGCCCCCAUGAGCAAGAAGAGGGGGACCAGCCCGGAAGUCUCUCCAAGAGCCCCAAAGUCCAGGAAUCCCCACCAAAGGAUUCAGAAACAGCGCCCACAGUCCGGGGCCCCUCUGAACGGUGGGUACGAGUUUAAGGAGCUGCCGGCCUAGAGUGGGGUGGGGACUGACAAAUGAGCCAGGGGCACUGGGGAGGGUAGGAGGCCGGGCCUCGGCUCUUCCCCCGUCCCUGCGGCACUGCUGCUGCAUCAUACCGACUGGGGGGAGGAGAGCCGAGCCGCCCGAGGCCGGCGCCGGUCCGGGACAGACCGACCCCUAGAGAGUGGGCAGAGUGGGACGCGUCCCGGCCCCUCUCCUUCCCCGCCCGCCGACAGCCCCAGCCGGCCGGGGAGAGGAGUCCGGGAGGGUGUCUCUAUUGUCCCGGGGGCUGGGGCCUGGCUCCCUAACAAAGGCCCCGCGCCCCCUCCCCGGCCGGCCCUGCCCCGCCCAGGGGGGACCCAAACAGGGGGAGAGCUGGGGGCCCCGGCCGGGCCGGGAAGCCGGGGGAAGCCGGGCGUUUCCGCGUCGGCCCGGGGGGAGGGGAAGGGGCGCUGACCCAGACCUGGGGGGAGGGGGCCCAAGCCCCGCCUCGGGCCCCGCCCCCCGCCCCCCGCAGGCCCCUCCCCCGUCCCCGUCUCCGUCCCGUACUCACCCCGCCCGGGGGGCCGCGCCGGGGCCCGGCGGCCUCUCAGGGCCGCGUCCUCCGGCGGCGGCGGCGGCGGCGGCUGCUCCGGAGCCCCAUGUCCGUCGGUCCGUCCUCGCCUCUCCCCGGGGCCCAGGGCCCGGGGCCGGGGGGUCGGGCCGCCCCCCCGCCUCGCCGCCUCACCGGGCGGCCAUGGCCCCUUCCCCUCCCUUCUCGUCCCGUCGCCGCCUCCUCCUCCUCACCUCACCCCGCCCGCGCGCAGUCCGCGCGCCGUCCGCGCGCCCCUCCCCCCGCCCCCCACUCCAGCCCGCCUCUCCCGGGCGGGGGGUGCGGCGCGAGCCCGGAGCGCGCGCGCGUGCCGCGACCGGAGGAUGGAUGGAUGGGGCGAGCGAGAACGCGAGCGUGCGCGCGCGCGCCCCUCUCCCCCUCCCUCCGCGCGGGCGCGAGGCCAAGCGCGAGCGCGCUCCAACCUCCUCCUCUUCCUCCUCCCGCCCCUCUUCAACACCCCGCCCCCGCCCUCCCUUCCUCUUCCUUCUUUCGCUUUCGCGCGCCCAGCGACUGCUCGCGCCUGCUAGAAGGGCCCGAGCGCGUGCAUCUGCCCCGCGGCCGCAGCUCGGCAGCAUUUGCUCCAGGGGGCGGGGACCGGGCGGGGAGGAGGGGCGCCACGCCGCCGUCCAAAGUACCGGCGGACGGGGACGGGGGCGGGGAGAUGGGCGGGGCCUUCUGGAGCCACCUCGGCCAAUCGCCGUCUCGCCUCGGUCCGGUCGGCCCAAUAGGAUGGCGGUGGGUGGAGCGACGUUCAAGGUGAGAGAGAGAGAGCACAAGCAGGGGAGAGACAGACAGCGAGGGAGACAGAGGAUCCAAAGUGGGCUCUGUGCUGACAGCAGAGAGCCUGGUGCGGGGCUCGAACCCACAAACUGCGAGAUCAUGACCUGAGCUGAAGCCAGGAAUCGGAUGCUUAACCAACUACGCCACCCCGGUGCUGUGGGAUGAGCUGGUGGAGACUCUGAAGGUCAUUGAACUUGCAAAAGAAUGAGGCCAAGUCUUCAGGAAGCUCUGAAGUGUGAAUCAGGAAUUCUCCACACCAGUGAUGCUGAUCGGCUUCCUAGUCUCUAAAUAUGCCCAGUGUAUCUGCCCUGAGGAACUUACACAUGCCCAAGAAGCCUUCCUGUCUCCUCUCUGUUUACCUAAAUACUUCCUCACUUUCCCACCCGUGGCCAUCCUCACACCAACUCCUUUACUACUGGAUGGUUCUGUUCAUCCAGGCCCUGGCCUGGGCUGCUCUGUGGCGGUGACCUCUUUGGGAACAUGCCUGGUCUCCCCAGGUAGCACCAAGCAGUCCGCAAAUACUGAGGACCGUGCUGGUCUGGGCCGUGGGUGAGGGCGUGGCGUUAGGGCAGCGAGCCAGAGAAACCCACAGACUUUAUCCUAGUAGAGUCUACACCCCAGCAAAGCCUGGUGUGGGUGAAACAAGACUGUGAAGGCAUCGGGCUGCUGAAGAAACAAAUGGCAUGGGCACUUGGGUGGCUCAGUUGGUUAAGCAUCUGACUCUGGCUCAGGUCAUGAUCUCACAAUUCAUGAGUUUGAGCCCCGCCUUGGGUUCUCCGCUCUCAGCAAGGAGCCCGCUUUAGAUCCUCUGUCUCCUCUCUCUGCCCCCUUCCCUGCUUGCUCUCUCUCUCAGAAAUAAACAUUAAAAAAAAAAAAAAAAAAAAA